UACGUAGGCGGAUUGGUAAGUUAGAGGUGAAAUCCCGGGGCUCAACCCCGGAACUGCCUUUAAUACUGCUAGUCUUGAGUUCGAGAGAGGUGAGUGGAAUUCCGAGUGUAGAGGUGAAAUUCGUAGAUAUUCGGAGGAACACCAGUGGCGAAGGCGGCUCACUGGCUCGAUACUGACGCUGAGGUACGAAAGUGUGGGGAGCAAACAGGAUUAGAUACCCUGGUAGUCC
Molecule: ribosomal RNA, 229 nt
Filed under: uncultured bacterium
Lineage: Bacteria
Description: partial 16S ribosomal RNA
Rfam family: Bacterial small subunit ribosomal RNA
Source: RNAcentral